This 201-nucleotide ribosomal RNA is filed under the name uncultured fungus. RNAcentral describes it as "partial 26S ribosomal RNA". It matches the Rfam family "Eukaryotic large subunit ribosomal RNA", at positions 35 to 245 of the family's 3401-position model. Lineage: Eukaryota; Fungi. The record is from RNAcentral.
UUUGCAUAUCAAUAAGCGGAGGAAAAGAAACUAACCAGGAUUCCCUCAGUAACUGCGAGUGAAGCGGGAAAAGCUCAGACUGAAAAUCUUCGGAAUUGUAGUCUGGAGAAGUAUGGUCAGCCGAUGAUGAUGAGUGAAGUCUUCUGGAAAGGAGCGCCUUGGAGGGUGAUAGUCCCGUUCAUACUUAUCAUUAGAAGCGUA